RNAcentral lists this ribosomal RNA (497 nucleotides) under uncultured bacterium. RNAcentral describes it as "partial 16S ribosomal RNA". It matches the Rfam family "Bacterial small subunit ribosomal RNA", at positions 28 to 507 of the family's 1533-position model. The record is from RNAcentral.
GAUGAACGCUGGCGGCGUGCCUAAUACAUGCAAGUCGAGCGAACAGACGAGGAGCUUGCUCCUCUGACGUUAGCGGCGGACGGGUGAGUAACACGUGGAUAACCUACCUAUAAGACUGGGAUAACUUCGGGAAACCGGAGCUAAUACCGUAUAACAUGUUGAACCGCAUGGUUCAACAGUGAAAGACGGUCUUGCUGUCACUUAUAGAUGGAUCCGCGCCGCAUUAGCUAGUUGGUAAGGUAACGGCUUACCAAGGCAACGAUGCGUAGCCGACCUGAGAGGGUGAUCGGCCACACUGGAACUGAGACACGGUCCAGACUCCUACGGGAGGCAGCAGUAGGGAAUCUUCCGCAAUGGGCGAAAGCCUGACGGAGCAACGCCGCGUGAGUGAAGAAGGUCUUCGGAUCGUAAACCUCUGUUAUUAGGGAAGAACAAAUGUGUAAGUAACUAUGCACGUCUUGACGGUACCUAAUCAGAAAGCCACGGCUAACUACGUG